AUGCAAGUCGAGCGGCAGCGGAAAGUAGCUUGCUACUUUGCCGGCGAGCGGCGGACGGGUGAGUAAUGUCUGGGAAACUGCCUGAUGGAGGGGGAUAACUACUGGAAACGGUAGCUAAUACCGCAUAACGUCGCAAGACCAAAGAGGGGGACCUUCGGGCCUCUUGCCAUCAGAUGUGCCCAGAUGGGAUUAGCUAGUAGGUGGGGUAACGGCUCACCUAGGCGACGAUCCCUAGCUGGUCUGAGAGGAUGACCAGCCACACUGGAACUGAGACACGGUCCAGACUCCUACGGGAGGCAGCAGUGGGGAAUAUUGCACAAUGGGCGCAAGCCUGAUGCAGCCAUGCCGCGUGUAUGAAGAAGGCCUUCGGGUUGUAAAGUACUUUCAGCGGGGAGGAAGGCGUUGAGGUUAAUAAACCUCAGCGAUUGACGUUACCCGCAGAAGAAGCACCGGCUAACUCCGUGCCAGCAGCCGCGGUAAUACGGAGGGUG
This 491-nucleotide ribosomal RNA is filed under the name uncultured Enterobacter sp. RNAcentral's name for it is "bacterial SSU rRNA". It matches the Rfam family "Bacterial small subunit ribosomal RNA", at positions 55 to 534 of the family's 1533-position model. Lineage: Bacteria; Pseudomonadati; Pseudomonadota; Gammaproteobacteria; Enterobacterales; Enterobacteriaceae. The record is from RNAcentral.